This 492-nucleotide ribosomal RNA is filed under the name uncultured bacterium. RNAcentral's name for it is "partial 16S ribosomal RNA". It matches the Rfam family "Bacterial small subunit ribosomal RNA", at positions 29 to 507 of the family's 1533-position model. The record is from RNAcentral.
AGUGAACGCUGGCGGUAGGCCUAACACAUGCAAGUCGAACGGCAGCACAGUAAGAGCUUGCUCUUACGGGUGGCGAGUGGCGGACGGGUGAGGAAUACAUCGGAAUCUACUUUUUCGUGGGGGAUAACGUAGGGAAACUUACGCUAAUACCGCAUACGACCUACGGGUGAAAGCAGGGGAUCUUCGGACCUUGCGCGAUUGAAUGAGCCGAUGUCGGAUUAGCUAGUUGGCGGGGUAAAGGCCCACCAAGGCGACGAUCCGUGGCUGGUCUGAGAGGAUGAUCAGCCACACUGGAACUGAGGCACGGUCCAGACUCCUACGGGAGGCAGCAGUGGGGAAUAUUGGACAAUGGGCGCAAGCCUGAUCCAGCCAUACCGCGUGGGUGAAGAAGGCCUUCGGGUUGUAAAGCCCUUUUGUUGGGAAAGAAAAGCAGCAGGUUAAUACCCCGCUGUUCUGACGGUACCCAAAGAAUAAGCACCGGCUAACUUCGUG